AUGUGAACGGCACUUGCACAUGGGUUAGUCGAUCCUAAGGGACGGGGGAAGCCCGUCUGAUAGCGCUUUCAGCGCGUACUCCGAAAGCGAAUCGGGUUAAAAUUCCUGAACCGCGACGUGGCUGCUGACGGCAACGUUAGGGAGUCCGGAGACGUCGGCGGGGGCCCCGGAAAGAGUUAUCUUUUCUGUUUAACAGCUUGCCCACCCUGG
Ribosomal RNA from Vigna angularis (adzuki bean), 210 nucleotides. It matches the Rfam family "Eukaryotic large subunit ribosomal RNA", at positions 1511 to 1723 of the family's 3401-position model. The record is from Rfam. NCBI's taxonomy places the organism in Eukaryota, Viridiplantae, Streptophyta, Magnoliopsida, Fabales, Fabaceae.